This 262-nucleotide long non-coding RNA is filed under the name Lathyrus oleraceus (garden pea). RNAcentral's name for it is "Pisum sativum (pea) long non-coding RNA (PSAT_LNC038906)". Lineage: Eukaryota; Viridiplantae; Streptophyta; Magnoliopsida; Fabales; Fabaceae. The record is from RNAcentral.
GGGUUUUAGGUUUUUGACCUUUGAAAAUGAUUUUCUUCAUUUUUUUAAAAAUUAUUUUAAAAUAGUUUAAUUGAUUUAAUGCUUUAAUGAGCUUUUGUAUUUACUUUGUGUUGACUCUACUUCUAUUUAGCCUUGGUCUUGGUUAAGUUGGACCUUGACUUGGUCAAUACCAUUGGAUUUAGGGGGUUGAUGAAGUUUAAACUUCAUCCCUUAAGAUGAAUGAAUGGUAUUUAUCAAGUAAGGUUCACCCCUUAACCAAUUU